UCAGAACGAACGCUGGCGGCAGGCCUAACACAUGCAAGUCGAGCGAACCCUUCGGGGUUAGCGGCGGACGGGUGAGUAACGCGUGGGAAUAUGCCCUUUGCUACGGAAUAGCCCCGGGAAACUGGGAGUAAUACCGUAUACGCCCUUUGGGGGAAAGAUUUAUCGGCAAAGGAUUAGCCCGCGUUGGAUUAGGUAGUUGGUGGGGUAAUGGCCUACCAAGCCGACGAUCCAUAGCUGGUUUGAGAGGAUGAUCAGCCACACUGGGACUGAGACACGGCCCAGACUCCUACGGGAGGCAGCAGUGGGGAAUCUUAGACAAUGGGGGCAACCCUGAUCUAGCCAUGCCGCGUGAGUGAUGAAGGCCCUAGGGUUGUAAAGCUCUUUCAGCUGGGAAGAUAAUGACGGUACCAGCAGAAGAAGCCCCGGCUAACUCCGUGCCAGCAGCCGCGGUAAUACGGAGGGGGCUAGCGUUGUUCGGAAUUACUGGGCGUAAAGCGCACGUAGGCGGACCGGAAAGUUGGGGGUGAAAUCCCGGGGCUCAACCUCGGAACUGCCUUCAAAACUAUCGGUCUGGAGUUCGAGAGAGGUGAGUGGAAUUCCGAGUGUAGAGGUGAAAUUCGUAGAUAUUCGGAGGAACACCAGUGGCGAAGGCGGCUCACUGGCUCGAUACUGACG
RNAcentral lists this ribosomal RNA (675 nucleotides) under Paracoccus sp. (in: a-proteobacteria). RNAcentral's name for it is "bacterial SSU rRNA". It matches the Rfam family "Bacterial small subunit ribosomal RNA", at positions 24 to 745 of the family's 1533-position model. The record is from RNAcentral. Lineage: Bacteria; Pseudomonadati; Pseudomonadota; Alphaproteobacteria; Rhodobacterales; Paracoccaceae.